GUUUUUGUUUCAAACGUAAUUUAGAAACUAUAAACUGGUUGUGCUUCAAUGGAAGGAUAAUUCAUCAGUAGCUUAGUUUUAUCCUAGUGUCCAUCACUGUGUUUUUUUAAAAGCAAAAUUUCCCGCUGAGCUCACCAGUCUGACUCUGAUGUUUCCACUCAGGUUUGAGCCGAUCCACUGAUGACCGCGGUACAAGAACCGUGCAGCGCGCUUCUUCCAACUAUGUAACCCUCCGCUGGAGAGAGGCGUUUGGGUCAAAGCAGCUCGAUCCAGUCGCAAAGGAGCCAAACUAUCGCCACAGCAACAACGGCGGAAUGUGGAAAUACAGGAUGUGAAAUGUGAUUCACCUGCAAACACUGAAACUCAUAAAGACUCUAUUCUAAGUGCAUCUGUACACAGAAGAACCACUCCAGGGUUUGGAGCUGGGACUCAGAGGUGUGUUCAUGGACACGCAGACGUCUGAACUGCCCUUCAGAUUAACUGGAUCUUUCCUUUAAAUUCGGUGUUAAAUGUGCUCAUUUUAAGAUCAGAAACACGUAAAUCGCUAACAUAAUACACAGAAUCAAUGGUUGUGAUGCUAACUUUUAUUAAGCUCAUUUUUUUGAGAAAUGUGCUGUCAAAUGAAUGCAAAUAUUGCAUCAUUUUUAUUUUGGGGUACUGUUUCAAUAAAUAACAUAUUACAAAUGUCCGAGCGAGAAUGAAACAUUUAUAAGACAUUCAAUAAUCGUGACUGUAUAUGAUUUUUAUUUAUUCCAACAUUACCCAACAUAUUUUCCGCAGCAUUUAAAUGUCGCUUCGGAUGUGUGAGCAUCUGAGCUCACAGUGAACCAGCCUCCCACUGCUCCUCUGCUUUUAUACCCGGCUAAAAAAAAACCCAACGCCAGCUAAUUGUUAACUCUAAACACUGUUCUGCUGUCCUGUAACUCUACACUACACACACACACACACACAUGACUGAUGUUGAACUAAUGGGUGGAGAAGACUGGAGCUUCUCAGUGACCCGUCAGAGGACACAGCUGAAAGAGCAGCUCAGGUAAAUGUUGGAGCAAAACCAACAACUGAUACCAACUAAUGUUUUAUUAUUAAAAAGUUGUUCAAAAAUAAACAAUAAAAUAUGCACUUUUUACUGUAAAGUGCUUUUAUUACUUCUAGGCGACACAAUUACAUUGUAAUAUGUGCAAGGGUGGAUAUUGGCAUGAAAGCCACUAAACUGGCUGAAAAAUCUUCUUUUAAGAACAUCUGUCAAUUUAAAUUAUUACCUGAGUUUGUUUAAAAAAAUUGCUUAUUGUGAAAAUGUAUAAACGUAAAAGCAAAAGCAUUGAAAACAUGAACUGUUUUCUGUACUUUUUUUAUAAUAUUGAAUAUUAUUAGAUAUAUCACUAUUAUUAUCAUUUUACAAAAUCUAAUAUUGGCAUAUUUAAAUUUUUGGGGGAACAAAUUGAAGUACAUUUUACAAUAGCCUGGCAGUAGCACUCCUAGAAAAAUUCCACAAGAGUGGCCAGACCACAGCAGUAAAAAUAUUAGAGGGGCUCGUUAAAAAACCCCCCAAAAACACGACAUAACUUUAUUUACUUAUUUAUUCUGGGGGGUUAAUAUAUGCUUCCAUUGAAGAAUAUGACAUGGACAAGACUAUCUAGGAGGGCCAGCAUUUUUUAAAAGGGGCCCCUUCCCUGCCUUCCCUUGGGGACACCACUGUAGCAGGGGGCGCUGAAGUUUUGGGGGUU
Non-coding RNA from Poecilia reticulata (guppy), 1724 nucleotides. The record is from RefSeq and is a predicted model, not a curated record. Lineage: Eukaryota; Metazoa; Chordata; Actinopteri; Cyprinodontiformes; Poeciliidae.